Molecule: ribosomal RNA, 669 nt
Filed under: Triticum aestivum (bread wheat)
Lineage: Eukaryota; Viridiplantae; Streptophyta; Magnoliopsida; Poales; Poaceae
Description: partial small subunit ribosomal RNA
Source: RNAcentral
AUGUACAGAUUGAUGAGUGGUAUGAAGAGUGAGUAUACCAGAGUGUUUGAUUACCAAUUAGAGCUGCUUAGGAGCAACCCUGGAAGCACUGUUAUUGUGUGUUUGGAUCCAACAAACAUGGUUCAAAAUAUAUUUGAGGGUUUCUGUGUUUUCUUCAAUGCAAUGAAAUAAGGAUUCAAGGCUGGAUGCAGGAAAGUGAUAGGCCUUGAUGGAUGUUUCUUCAAAGGGGCAGUGAAGGGUGAGCUCUCGUGUGCCAUAGGUAGGGAUGCUAACAAUCAAAUGUAUCCACUAGCUUGGGUUGUAGUUGAGCAGGAAACCAAUGCAACUUGGAAAUGGUUUGUUGGGCUACUCAUCAAGGAUCUUGACAUCAACAACAAUGGAGCUGGCUGGGUGUUUAUCUCUGAUCAACAAAAGUGCAUACUCAAUGCCAUGCAGGACUAUCUACCAGCUGCAGAGCACAGGAUGUGUGCUAGGCACAUAUAUGGUAACUGGAGGAAGAAGCACAAAGCUCAUGAUUGGCAGAAAAAUUGUUGGGCUGUUGCCAAAGCUUCCAAUAAGCAAGAUUUCAACUAUUACAGAGCCAAGCUUGCCCAAUAGACACCUGAAGGGGCUAAGGACAUGAUGAGGACAGAGCCUGUGCAUUGGGCAAGGGUUUUCUUUCCAAUGUGA